Long non-coding RNA from Chiroxiphia lanceolata (lance-tailed manakin), 285 nucleotides. RefSeq lists it as uncharacterized. Lineage: Eukaryota; Metazoa; Chordata; Aves; Passeriformes; Pipridae. The record is from RefSeq and is a predicted model, not a curated record. The transcript is spliced from 5 exons.
UCUUCUAUCCACAAUAUCUGGAAAAGAGUAUUAAAACAGUGAAUACUCUGGAUAAGUUUUAUCCUUUGGAAUUGCAGGCUGCUCAGGAUCAAGAGCCUAGGCUAAUAGGAUCCAUCAUGGGAUUCAGGCUUCAACCUUGAUCAGUGAAAGAGGACAAACAAGGAUCAGGCUGCCUGUUCGUACACAGAUAUUACCAGGUAAAGAGAGAAGUUACCUGAUCCAAGGACUGCUGAAGACUGACUCUUAUAUGCUUCCUCAGCAGAUUGAUCUGGCCCUUGCAGGGAG